UUACAUGAGAUAACUUAUAUUUCUCACCCUAACCCACUGUUUGAUAGGCUUUGUAAAUAAUAAUGAAGGCCCGCACCAAAAUCAAAGCCCGCUCCAAAAUCACUGUUCAGAAGAGAAAAUACAACCACCGCUCACCCCCAGUUGAAUAAUAUCGAUUUGAACAGUGAAAUGAUAUUAGAUUUCAACUUUACAAUUUUAUCCCUCAAAUUACUUCAAAUCGGAGGGGUAGGGGUCUGCAAAUCCGCCUCCUUCGACAUAACGAAGACGAGUUAUUCAGCUGAUGAAGUGAGUUUUUGCGUCAGAUCCUCUCGAAGUACUUGCAGGUUCGGUAUUUCGCUGGUGAAGGCCGCUAGAGUUGAGGGUGCCAUCUUUACCCUGUUUGAAACGGGUACAAGUUUGUGCAAUGAGAUGCUUGUUUGGAGUCAUGUAGUUUGUUUUCUGAAUUUUGUCUUUCCUAAAUAACAAUUACAAGCAUCAAUUUCUUUCUGAAUUCAGAACCUAUGCUUCAAGUUCUCUGAUUUGGGUGUUUGUGAAUUGGGAUCCUAGUCUUGUUUGUUUUUUGAAUUUGGGUCUUUGUGCAUCUCAAGCUUGUUUGGAAAAUCAGAUUUUGAUGUAUUUGGGAACCAAGCUUUCCUCUGUCAACCAAGCCUGUUUGUGUUACACAUGCACAUAUUUAUCUUCUUAUGUAAAUUGAGAUUCUGGGCUCUUCUUAUUUCUACUUUCCAUUGGCCAAUUUAAAGUAAUGGUCUUGCAUUCUUGCUGCAAA
Molecule: long non-coding RNA, 766 nt
Organism: Salvia miltiorrhiza (redroot sage)
Lineage: Eukaryota; Viridiplantae; Streptophyta; Magnoliopsida; Lamiales; Lamiaceae
Exons: 2
Source: RefSeq, a predicted model, not a curated record